GCGUCGGUGGCUCAUUGGUAGAAUACUCGCUUGCUACGCGGGUGACCCGGGUUCGAUUCCCUGCCAACGCA
This 71-nucleotide transfer RNA is filed under the name Ixodes scapularis (black-legged tick). It matches the Rfam family "tRNA". Rfam says of the family: Transfer RNA (tRNA) molecules are approximately 80 nucleotides in length. Their secondary structure includes four short double-helical elements and three loops (D, anti-codon, and T loops). Lineage: Eukaryota; Metazoa; Arthropoda; Arachnida; Ixodida; Ixodidae. The record is from Rfam by way of RNAcentral.